RNAcentral lists this small RNA (110 nucleotides) under Velazquezella soli. RNAcentral's name for it is "Rhizobium soli sRNA Atu_C6". It matches the Rfam family "EcpR1". From Rfam's summary of the family: Perviously named SmelC291, SmrC10, or Sra33. According to its overproduction phenotype it was renamed Elongated Cell Phenotype RNA1. RNAcentral also lists the same sequence under 1 other name. The record is from RNAcentral. Lineage: Bacteria; Pseudomonadati; Pseudomonadota; Alphaproteobacteria; Hyphomicrobiales; Rhizobiaceae.
AUACCCCAUGAUGCUCAGGUCCGCCGCAUCUCCUGGGUCGUGGGGUCGGUCGACUGGCAAGCAAUUUCAACGGCUCCUCGUGCCGCGAUUGCAAGCCGGUCGACCCCCAA